This 156-nucleotide small RNA is filed under the name Salmonella enterica subsp. enterica serovar Typhimurium str. SL1344. RNAcentral's name for it is "STnc1150". The record is from RNAcentral. Lineage: Bacteria; Pseudomonadati; Pseudomonadota; Gammaproteobacteria; Enterobacterales; Enterobacteriaceae. RNAcentral also lists the same sequence under 1 other name.
UUAUUGGCAUAACAAUAACAAGGUCGUAAGACGAUAUUUUCCGCCAACGCUAUUCUGGCGGAAUUAACACACUGCCCUCUUUCCUUUGGCCGAGCGGUAUCCCGAAAACCACGACGAACGCGAUCGGGGACAAUAAAUUAUUUGGCCGCUCUUUUU